UUUGUUAUGAUUAAUGUGCCACGACAUAAAUGUAGCAAAUAUUAAUUAAACUAAUGCAAACACGUAAUGUUGACACAAAAAUGCCAAAUCUCAAAUUAAGUUGCUCAUCUAAAUCUGAACAUAUUGAACAAAUACAUAUAAUGAUGUCAACAUAAUAAAAAUUGAGUAAACUGUCCUCAAGAUUUAUUGUUUGUUGUUCAAUUAAAGUGGGUACGUUUGGUGUCGCCACCUCAAGAAUCAAAAAGAUUUAAAAAGUAUAACAAGAAGAGACUUGCUGCAAUUGCGUAAACCACAAAUAUGUUAAUCGCUUUAAUAUUGGUAUCAAAAAAUGCUUCAGUAUUUAUAGUAUAUAUGUAUAACUUCUGUUCUUAAAAAUUGCAUUUCAUAACUAA
Hydra vulgaris (swiftwater hydra) is the source of this 392-nucleotide non-coding RNA. NCBI's taxonomy places the organism in Eukaryota, Metazoa, Cnidaria, Hydrozoa, Anthoathecata, Hydridae. The record is from RefSeq and is a predicted model, not a curated record.